RNAcentral lists this ribosomal RNA (320 nucleotides) under uncultured Chloroflexota bacterium. RNAcentral describes it as "bacterial SSU rRNA". It matches the Rfam family "Bacterial small subunit ribosomal RNA", at positions 28 to 351 of the family's 1533-position model. The record is from RNAcentral. Lineage: Bacteria; Bacillati; Chloroflexota.
GAUGAACGCUGGCGGCGUGCUUAAUACAUGCAAGUCGAACGGAAUGCUAGAAAUAGUAUUUAGUGGCGAACGGGUGAGUAACGCGUUGGUGACCUGCCCCGAAGUGGGGAAUAACAGUUCGAAAGGACUGCUAAUACCGCAUGAACUCUCUGAGGCCAGAGGCUUGGAGAGAAAAGGAGAAAUCCGCUUUGGGAGGGGCCUGCGUCCCAUCAGCUAGUUGGUAGGGUAAAAGCCUACCAAGGCGACGACGGGUAGGGGACCUGAGAGGGUGGCCCCCCACACUGGCACUGAAACACGGGCCAGACACCUACGGGUGGCAG